Non-coding RNA from Triticum aestivum (bread wheat), 92 nucleotides. NCBI's taxonomy places the organism in Eukaryota, Viridiplantae, Streptophyta, Magnoliopsida, Poales, Poaceae. The record is from Rfam.
AGUCUAGUGAUGAGGUAUUGAUGCAUGAUGCAACACUUGAUCCAAGGGUGGCUAAACUGUCCAUAUGAUGUCAUCUUUGCAUCUGAAUCCAC